UGGGGAAUUUUGGACAAUGGGCGAAAGCCUGAUCCCAGCAAUGCCGCGUGUGUGAAGAAGGCCUUCGGGUUGUAAAGCACUUUUUGUCCGGAAAGAAAUCCUUGGCUCUAAUACAGUCGGGGGAUGACGGUACCGGAAGAAUAAGCACCGGCUAACUACGUGCCAGCAGCCGCGGUAAUACGUAGGGUGCAAGCGUUAAUCGGAAUUACUGGGCGUAAAGCGUGCGCAGGCGGUUUGCUAAGACCGAUGUGAAAUCCCCGGGCUCAACCUGGGAACUGCAUUGGUGACUGGCAGGCUAGAGUAUGGCAGAGGGGGGUAGAAUUCCACGUNUAGCAGUGAAAUGCGUAGAGAUGUGGAGGAAUACCGAUGGCGAAGGCAGCCCCUGGGCCAAUACUGACGCUCAUGCACGAAAGCGUGGGGAGCAAACAGGAUUAGAUACCCUGGUAGUCCACGCCCUAAACGAUGUCAACUAGUUGUUGGGGAUUCAUUUCCUUAGUAACGUAGC
This 505-nucleotide ribosomal RNA is filed under the name uncultured bacterium. RNAcentral describes it as "partial 16S ribosomal RNA". It matches the Rfam family "Bacterial small subunit ribosomal RNA", at positions 355 to 852 of the family's 1533-position model. The record is from RNAcentral.